UACGUAGGGACCAAGCGUUGUUCGGAUUUACUGGGCGUAAAGGGUGCGUAGGCGGCGCGGUAAGUCGGGUGUGAAAUCUCGGGGCUUAACUCCGAAACUGCAUUCGAUACUGCUGUGCUUGAGGACUGGAGAGGAGACUGGAAUUUACGGUGUAGCGGUGAAAUGCGUAGAUAUCGUAAGGAAGACCAGUGGCGAAGGCGGGUCUCUGGACAGUUCCUGACGCUGAGGCACGAAGGUCAGGGGAGCAAACGGG
This 253-nucleotide ribosomal RNA is filed under the name uncultured bacterium. Its description in RNAcentral is "partial 16S ribosomal RNA". It matches the Rfam family "Bacterial small subunit ribosomal RNA", at positions 524 to 776 of the family's 1533-position model. The record is from RNAcentral.